Molecule: transfer RNA, 73 nt
Filed under: Acidobacteriota bacterium
Lineage: Bacteria; Pseudomonadati; Acidobacteriota
Also listed under: 1 other name
Description: Acidobacteria bacterium tRNA-Ile
Rfam family: tRNA
About the family: Transfer RNA (tRNA) molecules are approximately 80 nucleotides in length.
Source: RNAcentral
GCCGCCUUGGUGUAACUGGCAACACGUCCGCCCGAUUAGCGGAAGAUUCCGGGUUCAACUCCUGGAGGCGGCA